Molecule: long non-coding RNA, 1942 nt
Filed under: Homo sapiens (human)
Lineage: Eukaryota; Metazoa; Chordata; Mammalia; Primates; Hominidae
Description: HSALNT0161362
Source: RNAcentral
UCUUCCAGCAACUGGAGUGCAGUUUUUCCCUUAUGUUUUAUGAAAACACUUUAUCUUCAAAGGAAAAACCUAACAACCCUUGAAUUUACUAGAAAACUGCAGACGAAUCAUCAUGUUUGUUAAGUGAGUGAAGAUGGUGCAGAAACCUCCUGGUCCAUCUUACAAGCAAGGAAACAGACUCAUGGGGACAUCUUGCAGCUUGCUCUCGAUCCCCAAGCCCGCUAAGCUGAGCGAGCUCCCUGGCCUCCCUCCCAGGAUGUCGCUGUAUUGUGCUGCUUCAGCUGCUGCUGUCUUCUGCUUUUCAUACCUUGUGCAAGACCCUCCCGCUUCCUCUGCUCCAACCACUCUGGGUCUGCUCGUCCUGCCUGGCUAUGGCAGAGAUAGGAGAAAGAAGUACCUCCUGGAUGUGACUGUGUUCUGGGAGGCUAAGAGGCUCCCUCUGGCUUUUCCCUAUCCCAUGGAAUGUUACACCUGUAAUCCCAGCACUUUGGGAGGCCAAGGCGGAUGAUCACUUGAGCUCAGGAGUUUGAGACCAGCCUGGCCAACAUGGUGAAACCCCAUCUCUACUAAAAAUAGAAAAAUUAGCUGGGUAUGUUGGCGCAUGCCUGUAAUCUCAGCUACUCAGGAGGCUGAGGCAGGAGAAUCACUUGAACCCGCAAGAUGAAGGUUGCAGUGAGCCGAGGUCAUAUCAUGACACUCCAGCCCGGGCGACAGAGCUGUCUCAAAAAAAAUUGCGUCUGAUCCACCAUGCUCUGUGCUUACCUCUUCUGCAGUGCUGUCUUAGUGACACAAGGAAUGAUGCAUAGACUUCCCUUCCUGGGGCCUCUCUAUGCGUCUUGCCUGCUCUGCAUUCCCCUGCUCAGACAUCAGACUGAUAAACAUUUGGGGAAUGGAAGAGGGAAGAAUUCUAGAACCCACCAAGGAGGCACGCGUGGACACGCUUUUCCCUGAGACUUACUGGCCUCAGGAGUUCGUGAAGAAUGGGUAUUAAAUCUUUAGAUGUUCAGUGGAAUUCAUUCAUGAAGACAUCUGAGACUGCACUUUUCUUUCCCUGGCACCAGAGAGAUGAGAGGAGAAACCUGACAAUAUCCCCAGCCUGAGCCAUCACCAGACUCCAUCCUCCUGAGUGCCCCUGAACCAGCAUCACCGCUGAACACUCUGGAAGACCUACAGAAACUGAGAGAAGGUUCUGCAAAGAGCUGUAAGGAUGCACUGAAUAUUUGCCGUUGCGGAUGAGGCUGCUGGAGCAUUGGAGAUCCAUUCAUCAUGCCAAAGUGUAGCUCAGGGAGUCACCUCCAUGGAAAAUGUGUGCUUUCCAAACGUGGCUACCAGGUCGUUGUGGAAUUCCAUCCAGAAGCACCUUGUUCUUCCAUCGCCAUCAUUCUGGACAAGGCAGAAUCCACAUUCCCCAUAUUACUAACUUUAAAGCAGAAAUGUUACGCCUUUGCCUGUAAUUGAAAUUGUAGUCAUUUGAAAAUCAAAUAUUGCUAAAAUUUGAUGUUAGAGGGAUAGAUGAUCAAUAAUUGGGUUGAAAGAAUACUGUCUCUCAUUAAGCAAAAUGAAAAUGUUUUCAGAGAUUUGUGAAAUGUUUUGCUAUGAAGACUUUUCACUGCAAAGCACCCACUUUGUUUAAAGCAAUAAGGCAACGUGCUGGAUGAACGUAAAGAAGUUUUCAACACAGAACUUCACAAUAAAAAUGGUAAGAAAUGCACACAAACCAUGGAAAUCAAGUGCUGUAAGAGUGUGUUUUAUAAAAGUGGCUGAAGGAAAUGCUUUGGACAUUUCUAUUAAUUAUAGCCAAUGUUCAUGGAUCUGUAUGCUGAGUACACACCUAGGCAUUUGCAUUUCAUUAUUUCUUUGAACUCUUUCAAAAGCCCUGAGGUCUUUAUGAUUAUCUCCAUUUCACAAAUGAUGAUACAGAGGAACAGGGAAAGCAAGUGAU